Molecule: unclassified non-coding RNA, 300 nt
Filed under: Helotiales sp.
Lineage: Eukaryota; Fungi; Ascomycota; Leotiomycetes; Helotiales
Description: partial contains small subunit ribosomal RNA and internal transcribed spacer 1
Source: RNAcentral
AAGUCGUAACAAGGUUUCUGUGGAACGCCACUUACUGAAGCCUUGACUCCAGUCUAUUUUAUAGGCAACACCUUUACUGUGCUUGGAUACCCCUAGGUAACAAGCAGCUGCGUUAUUGCAGUUCACAGAUCAAACAGAGGUGGUCUAUGGCCCUACUACCGCCUGUAGUGUGUAUGCCCUAGAUUUAGAUAUGAUCGGCCUAUCUUUGAAACAAAUGAUAGAGCAUGUGUUCCGUAGGUGAACCUGCGGAAGGAUCAUUACUGAGAACAUGCCCUCUGGGCAUCUCUCCCACCCUUUGUU